CUUUUGGUUGACACAGUCAUCACUUGGUCACUCAUUCUAUCUCCUUUUUCUCUAUCUCACUCUUUCUCGAUCAAUGUUUCACUCCAUCUCUCCCUCUCUCUCUCCCUGUCUCUCUCUAUGCCCCUCUUACUCUUUCCGUAUCUCUCUCUCUCUCUCUCUCUCUCUCUCUCUCUCUCUCUCUCUCUCUCUAUGCCCCUCUAACUCUUUCCGUAUCUCUCUCUCUCUCUCUCUCUCUCUCUCUCUCUCUCUCUCUCUCUCUCUCUCUCUCUCUCUCUCUCUCUCUCUCUCUCUCUCUCUCUCUCUCUCUCUAUGCCCCUCUUACUCUUUCCGUAUCUCUCUCUCUCUCUCUCUCUCUCUCUCUCUCUCUCUCUCUCUCUAUGCCCCUCUUACUCUUUCCGUAUCUCUCUCUCUCUCUCUCUAUGCCCCUCUUACUCUUUCCGUAUCUCUCUCUCUCUCUCUCUCUCUCUCUCUCUCUCUCUCUCUCUCUCUCUCUCUCUCUCUCUCUCUCUCUCUCUCUCUCUCUCUAUGCCCCUCUUACUCUUUCCGUAUCUCUCUCUCUCUCUCUCUCUCUCUCUCUCUCUCUCUCUCUCUCUCUCUCUCUCUCUCUCUCUUUCUCUCUUUCUCUCUCUCUCUCUAUGCCCCUCUUACUCUUUCCGUAUCUCUCUCUCUCUCUCUCUCUCUCUCUCUCUCUCUCUCUCUCUCUCUCUCUCUCUCUCUCUCUCUCUCUCUCUCUAUGCCCCUCUUACUCUUUCCGUAUCUCUCUCUCUCUCUCUCUCUCUCUCUCUCUCUCUCUCUCUCUCUCUCUCUCUCUCUCUCUCUCUCUCUCUCUCUCUCUAUGCCCCUCUUACUCUUUCCGUAUCUCUCUCUCUCUCUCUCUCUCUCUCUCUCUCUCUCUCUCUCUCUCUCUCUCUCUCUCUCUCUCUCUCUCUCUCUCUAUGCCCCUCUUACUCUUUCCGUAUCUCUCUCUCUCUCUCUCUCUCUCUCUCUCUCUCUCUCUCUCUCUCUCUCUCUCUCUCUCUCUCUCUCUCUCUCUCUCUCUCUCUCUCUAUGCCCCUCUUACUCUUUCCGUAUCUCUCUCUCUCUCUCUAUGCCCCUCUUACUCUUUCCGUAUCUCUCUCUCUCUCUCUCUAUGCCCCUCUUACUCUUUCCGUAUCUCUCUCUCUCUCUCUCUCUCUCUCUCUCUCUCUCUCUCUCUCUCUCUCUCUAUGCCCCUCUUACUCUUUCCGUGUCUCUCUCUCUCUCUCUCUCUCUCUCUCUCUCUCUCUCUCUCUCUCUCUCUCUCUCUCUCUCUCUCUCUCUAUGCCCCUCUUACUCUUUCCGUGUCUCUCUCUCUCUCUCUCUCUCUCUCUCUCUCUCUCUCUCUCUCUCUCUCUCUCUCUCUCUCUCUCUCUCUCUCUCUCUCUCUCUAUUCAAUUCAAUACAAUUUCAAUUCAAAAAAGCUUUAUUGGCGUGAGAAAUAUACAUUUGCAUUGCCAAAGCAGGUGAACAAUAAAACAGUCAAAGUGUAAAACAUUAAAGGAGACAUAUUAUGGAGUUUUCCCAACAAGUAAACAUAGUAUUUGAGUUCCAGAAAACAUGUUUUUGAAGCUGUUUGCUGGAAAUAGCUUUAAGGAAAAAAAAUAUUGUCUACCGCUAUUCCCCUCUGUUUCAGUCCCUUUAGAAUGCGCUGUUUCUGGUGUCUGUAGAAUUGAUGCAAAUGAGCUGCUGCCCAUUGACCAAUGAGCUGUCAGACUGAACCACAGCAUGGAGGAGAAGGGAUUGUUGCCGUUUGCUGACUCCUGGAGCUCUAUAUCUAUAUAAUAUAGUUGUCAAGUAAUAG
RNAcentral lists this long non-coding RNA (1819 nucleotides) under Gadus morhua (Atlantic cod). RNAcentral describes it as "lncRNA (ENSGMOG00000031408.1)". Lineage: Eukaryota; Metazoa; Chordata; Actinopteri; Gadiformes; Gadidae. The record is from RNAcentral.